AGUGAACGCUGGCGGUAGGCCUAACACAUGCAAGUCGAACGGCAGCACAGGAGAGCUUGCUCUCUGGGUGGCGAGUGGCGGACGGGUGAGGAAUACAUCGGAAUCUACUCUGUCGUGGGGGAUAACGUAGGGAAACUUACGCUAAUACCGCAUACUACCUACGGGUGAAAGCAGGGGACCUUCGGGCCUUGCGCGAUUGAAUGAGCCGAUGUCGGAUUAGCUAGUGGGCGGGGUAAAGGCCCACCAAGGCGACGAUCCGUAGCCGGUCUGAGAGGAUGAUCAGCCACACUGGAACUGAGACACGGUCCAGACUCCGACGGGAGGCAGCAGUGGGGAAUAUUGGACAAUGGGCGCAAGCCUGAUCCAGCCAUACCGCGUGGGUGAAGAAGGCCUUCGGGUUGUAAAGCCCUUUUGUUGGGAAAGAAAUCCAGCUGGCUAAUACCCGGUUGGGAUGACGGUACCCAAAGAAUAAGCACCGGCUAACUUCGUGCCAGCCGCCGCCGUAA
RNAcentral lists this ribosomal RNA (506 nucleotides) under uncultured bacterium. RNAcentral's name for it is "partial 16S ribosomal RNA". It matches the Rfam family "Bacterial small subunit ribosomal RNA", at positions 29 to 523 of the family's 1533-position model. The record is from RNAcentral.